AGUGAACGCUGGCGGUAGGCCUAACACAUGCAAGUCGAACGGCAGCACAGUAAGAGCUUGCUCUUACGGGUGGCGAGUGGCGGACGGGUGAGGAAUACAUCGGAAUCUACUUUUUCGUGGGGGAUAACGUAGGGAAACUUACGCUAAUACCGCAUACGACCUACGGGUGAAAGCAGGGGAUCUUCGGACCUUGCGCGAUUGAAUGAGCCGAUGUCGGAUUAGCUAGUUGGCGGGGUAAAGGCCCACCAAGGCGACGAUCCGUAGCUGGUCUGAGAGGAUGAUCAGCCACACUGGAACUGAGACACGGUCCAGACUCCUACGGGAGGCAGCAGUGGGGAAUAUUGGACAAUGGGCGCAAGCCCGAUCCAGCCAUACCGCGUGGGUGAAGAAGGCCUUCGGGUUGUAAAGCCCUUUUGUUGGGAAAGAAAAGCAGCAGGUUAAUACCCCGCUGUUCUGACGGUACCCAAAGAAUAAGCACCGGCUAACUUCGG
RNAcentral lists this ribosomal RNA (491 nucleotides) under uncultured bacterium. RNAcentral describes it as "partial 16S ribosomal RNA". It matches the Rfam family "Bacterial small subunit ribosomal RNA", at positions 29 to 506 of the family's 1533-position model. The record is from RNAcentral.